Sapajus apella (tufted capuchin) is the source of this 917-nucleotide long non-coding RNA. RefSeq lists it as uncharacterized. The transcript has 2 exons. NCBI's taxonomy places the organism in Eukaryota, Metazoa, Chordata, Mammalia, Primates, Cebidae. The record is from RefSeq and is a predicted model, not a curated record.
GGCUUCAUCAAAGCAGCUUGUGAGAGCUUUUGCGGUGUGUUUUGUUAAGAGAAAAUGGAACAAGGCUGGGUGAAUUCUGCUAUCAAGAGGGGUUUUCAAGUUUGUUUACUCUGAUGUGCAAACUUCCAGGAACAUGGGGUUCCAUCGCUCUUGCACUCUUCGCUGGGGCGGAAGCUGCUUUCUAAAGCUACAGAAAAAUGUUGUGGGCGCACAGUCCAGUGUCCCAGAAUGCCUGGGGUCAUGGCCGCCAGACCCUCGGCACUGUGGAAAAGCUGCCUCAGAAAAGUGUCACAAACAAGGAGAGGAAGAGGAAGGAGCUCUGUCUGCCUCUGAAUGAAGCUAAAAAUGGAAAGCGCGUGUGGUGCAGGAGCGGAACCCAGCCUGCCUUUUCCAAAUGGGGAAGACUGAACUUUCCCACCAGCUCCCAACGCAAAACAACUUUCAAAACAACUGCCUCCCCCCUCUGCUUCGAGCUCUUUCAUCCUCUCACAUGGAAGGCUGAAAAGGGUUGCAUCCUGCCAGCAUCACUGAGCUACGGCCUCUUAGAAAUCACUUGGACCACAGGAAAAGAGGAGGAAAAAUGAGUGAAGGAGAAAACAGCCUGCAGUGUCUUCUGACUUGCAGGCAUAUAGCACCAAAUUGAAAAAGCAAAAACAAAACAUAAAACUGUUCAAUAAAAUUCCCUGGAGAGAAUUCCUUUAGGACCCUUCAGCUACAAAUAGCACUUUCCAUUUAAGUCUGAAAGUGUAUGAAUUCCCAGAAGUCACUGAUGUACUACAGUUUACUGUAACUAAAGUUACAACAAAUUUAGAAGACUUGGAGGACAAUCUCUGCUUCCACUUGUAAACUGAUAACGAUAUUCCCGAAAAUCCUCCCUCACACUCAGAAAAAAGUGUUUCCCAAAGGCAAAAAAAAAA